AGUGAACGCUGGCGGUAGGCCUAACACAUGCAAGUCGAACGGCAGCACAGUAAGAGCUUGCUCUUACGGGUGGCGAGUGGCGGACGGGUGAGGAAUACAUCGGAAUCUACUUUUUCGUGGGGGAUAACGUAGGGAAACUUACGCUAAUACCGCAUACGACCUACGGGUGAAAGCAGGGGAUCUUCGGACCUUGCGCGAUUGAAUGAGCCGAUGUCGGAUUAGCUAGUUGGCGGGGUAAGGGCCCACCAAGGCGACGAUCCGUAGCUGGUCUGAGAGGAUGAUCAGCCACACUGGAACUGAGACACGGUCCAGACUCCUACGGGAGGCAGCAGUGGGGAAUAUUGGACAAUGGGCGCAAGCCUGAUCCAGCCACACCGCGUGAGUGAAGAAGGCCUUCGGGUUGUAAAGCCCUUUUGUUGGGAAAGAAAAGCAGCAGGUUAAUACCCCGCUGUUCUGACGGUACCCAAAGAAUAAGCACCGGCUAACUUCGUG
This 492-nucleotide ribosomal RNA is filed under the name uncultured bacterium. Its description in RNAcentral is "partial 16S ribosomal RNA". It matches the Rfam family "Bacterial small subunit ribosomal RNA", at positions 29 to 507 of the family's 1533-position model. The record is from RNAcentral.